Molecule: ribosomal RNA, 776 nt
Filed under: uncultured Neocallimastigales
Lineage: Eukaryota; Fungi; Neocallimastigomycota; Neocallimastigomycetes; Neocallimastigales
Description: partial large subunit ribosomal RNA
Rfam family: Eukaryotic large subunit ribosomal RNA
Source: RNAcentral
AGAGAGAGACAUGCGCGCAUAUCAAUAAGCGGAGGAAAAGAAACUAACAAGGAUUCCCCUAGUAACGGCGAGUGAAGCGGGAAGAGCUCAAAUUUGAAAUCUUAAAGGGUUUCCCUUUACGAAUUGUAGUUUAAAGAAGUGUUUUCUGUUGAGGUUUUGGUAAAAGUUCUUUGGAAUAGGACAUCAUAGAGGGUGAGAAUCCCGUAUUUGACCUUUACUUUCAACUUUGUGAUACACUUUCAAAGAGUCGGAUUGUUUGGGAAUGCAGUCCAAAAUGGGUGGUAAAUUUCAUCUAAAGCUAAGUAUUGGCGAGAGACCGAUAGCGAACAAGUACCGUGAGGGAAAGAUGAAAAGAACUUUGAAAAGAGAGUUAAACAGUACGUGAAAUUGUCAAAAGGGAAGCGUUUGACACCAGUGUUGUUUUUCUGAAAAUCAAUUAAAGAACUGUUUAUGCUAAGCUGUUUAGACUUUAUCAGCUAAUCUGUUUAGUUUUGAGCUUUUCUUUAAUGCACUUUUCAGUUAACAAGUCAACAUCAAUUUCUUUUGCUGUAAAAAAGCUUGAGGAAGGUGGCUUGAGAUUCGUCUUAAGUGUUUAUAGCCUCUUGCCUAUGCAGUCGGAGAGAUUGAGGUCUGCAGCGUAGAUCCUUCGGGGCUAAAUGCAUUUGUGCUAAGUUAUAGCAUUUUAUAGACGAACUUGUUGACUAUGAUUUGUCUUGUAGCUUACUCGCUUAUGUUAUUUUACCUACGCUUAGGAUGUUGACGCAUGAGAUAUACGC